Molecule: long non-coding RNA, 986 nt
Organism: Salvelinus namaycush (lake trout)
Lineage: Eukaryota; Metazoa; Chordata; Actinopteri; Salmoniformes; Salmonidae
Exons: 2
Source: RefSeq, a predicted model, not a curated record
AGUGACAUGAUCACACAGUUCACUCUUUGCCUCUCAAUCACAGACUCACUCAUGCACUCACUUACUCACAUAGUUUCGCUUUAGGAUUAUUCUCAUUUAAGAUAAUUGGAUCUCUAUUUCAGGAGAGGAAUGACAUGCAUGACCUUCUGGCUCUCCUCUCUGCUCAGGCCCCAGCAGAACAGGCCCAGCUCUCACAGUGGUCUUCUCUACAGGCUGUCCUGCUCCGCUCCCCUUUGGCACCAGCUCCUGCCACUACAAAAGAGGAUUCCUCUGAAUAGUUCCUGCUGGAUACAGAUCUUCCAAGCACACCUCUGCCAGCCACAUCACCACUGCCCUUGAUAGCUUCUCCACUGGACCCAUCAAGAGAUGAGGUUGCCUCUUCAUCUUGGACCACGGCCGAUGGACAGAGCCCCUUGAAGCUGCCAGUGAUGUCCUACUGGCCAAGCACCAUGGGGAGGAAGAGAUCCUGAAGUGGGUAGAUUUGCUUUGCUCUCAACACCAGUCCAGAGAAGCUCCUAGAGACACACAGCUGUGACAUUAUUUUACUGCAGAGAGUAAAAUGGUCAGUGUCCCAGUCACGUCCCCUACCACCUGCACUUACACAGCAGAAAGCCUCACCAAUUCAAGGAUGCCAUUUCAGUAUUUUGCUGCCGCUGCCUUCUUUCAAUGGGAGCUGGAGGCCUCGAAGCAGAGGGAGGCUGUGAGGAAGGAGCAAACUGAAGAAAGAGAAAAUCCUUAGAGCAACAUCCCUCUGUCCAUCUGUACAGGUUCUGCCACCAGUCGCUGAAACAAGGCUCCAACAGCCAUCCAACAGCUUUCCUUGAGUGGCAGGAAAAUAUCUACUACCUAGCCAAAGUUUUCUCUGUGCCUGAUACAGGGCAUUGGCGGAUGCGCCAACAGUCUGCCUUUUAAUGAGACUGAAAAGUAGAUGGAUGGUGGGGAAGGGAGAGUGACUGAAAUAAAUUGGAGCUGAAAAUUUCCAUUGA